Molecule: ribosomal RNA, 433 nt
Filed under: uncultured bacterium
Lineage: Bacteria
Description: partial 16S ribosomal RNA
Rfam family: Bacterial small subunit ribosomal RNA
Source: RNAcentral
AACGAACGCUGGCGGCAUGCCUAACACAUGCAAGUCGAACGAGACCUUCGGGUCUAGUGGCGCACGGGUGCGUAACGCGUGGGAACCUGCCCUUAGGUUCGGAAUAACUCCCCGAAAGGGGUGCUAAUACCGGAUAAUGUCUUCGGACCAAAGAUUUAUCGCCUUUGGAUGGGCCCGCGUUGGAUUAGCUAGUUGGUAGGGUAAAAGCCUACCAAGGCGACGAUCCGUAGCUGGUCUGAGAGGAUGAUCAGCCACACUGGGACUGAGACACGGCCCAGACUCCUACGGGAGGCAGCAGUGGGGAAUAUUGGACAAUGGGCGAAAGCCUGAUCCAGCAAUGCCGCGUGAGUGAUGAAGGCCUUAGGGUUGUAAAGCUCUUUUACCCGGGAUGAUAAUGACAGUACCGGGAGAAUAAGCUCCGGCUAACUCCGUG